UACGUAGGACCCAAGCGUUGUCCGGAUUUACUGGGUGUAAAGGGUGCGCAGGCGGAUGGAUAAGUCAGAGGUGAAAGUCUGCAGCUUAACUGUAGAAUUGCCUUUGAUACUGUUCAUCUUGAGUGUGGGAGAGGUUGAUGGAAUUCCAGGUGUAGCAGUGAAAUGCGUAGAUAUCUGGAAGAACACCAGUGGCGAAGGCGGUCAACUGGCCCAUAACUGACGCUCAUGCACGAAAGCGUGGGUAGCGAAC
Molecule: ribosomal RNA, 250 nt
Filed under: uncultured bacterium
Lineage: Bacteria
Description: partial 16S ribosomal RNA
Rfam family: Bacterial small subunit ribosomal RNA
Source: RNAcentral